Pongo abelii (Sumatran orangutan) is the source of this 148-nucleotide unclassified non-coding RNA. It matches the Rfam family "Metazoan signal recognition particle RNA". From Rfam's summary of the family: The signal recognition particle (SRP) is a universally conserved ribonucleoprotein. It is involved in the co-translational targeting of proteins to membranes. NCBI's taxonomy places the organism in Eukaryota, Metazoa, Chordata, Mammalia, Primates, Hominidae. The record is from Ensembl.
GCCGGGCGUGGUGGCGGGCGCCUGUAAUCCCAGCUACUUGGGAGGCUGAGGCAGGAGAAUCGCUUGAACCCGGGAGGCAGAGGUUGCAGUGAGCCAAGAUCAUGCCAUUGCACUCCAGCCUGGGUGACAGAGCGAGACUCCGUCUCAA